This is a long non-coding RNA of Lolium perenne, 504 nucleotides long. RefSeq lists it as uncharacterized. Lineage: Eukaryota; Viridiplantae; Streptophyta; Magnoliopsida; Poales; Poaceae. The record is from RefSeq and is a predicted model, not a curated record.
CUAUCUUGUUUCGAAAAGGACAUACUAUCUCUGUUUGCUCGGGGCUUCACGAUAAACCAUCACGCAAUGGAUGCCAGGCAUGCCGUUCUCUGUUUCCUCCUCGUGCUCGCGUUACAUGGGAGUCCUGCUGCUGUGGCCGAGGAUUGCGAUUACGGAGGUUCGAAAAUGCCAUUCUGUUUCGGCGCAAUAUGCAAGGUGAACUGCUGGGUGCGGGCGGUAGUGGUCGGCGCUCGUGUCAAAGAAAACAGCUGCUGGGGCAAAAAGGAUGACAGCUGGUGUAUCUGUCUGUUCUGCAAAAAAUGAGUAGCUGACUUUGUAGUGUCAGGGCCGUCUAUCCAUUUAUUUAGAACCAAGGAAUCAAAUAGGCUCUUUGGACGACAUCUCCUAGUAUACUUAUUAAUAUUAUUUUGCCUUCACUGAUGAAACACUCUGCACUUCUACUCUCCCUGUGUCACAGCAGUCCAAUUAAUCUCCCGUUCAGUCGAAUUCCAUACGGAAGUGUUA